ACAAGUAUAGGUGGUGUGUAGAGGUGAGGUGAGGUGUAUAUACUCACUAUGUGUAGAGGUGACGGUGAGGUGGUGUGUAGAGGUGAGGUGGUGUGUAGAGGUGAGGGUGUGUAGAGGUGAGGUGGUGUCUAGAGGUGGUAUAUACUCACUAUGUGUAGAGGUGACGGUGAGGUGGUCAGGCCGUGGAAGGAGAUACUGUAGUCAACGGUGACGUCACCAAGGCUGGCCCACCACCGGGCGACACAUAACUCUACUGUCCUCCCCGAC
Molecule: long non-coding RNA, 267 nt
Organism: Oncorhynchus tshawytscha (Chinook salmon)
Lineage: Eukaryota; Metazoa; Chordata; Actinopteri; Salmoniformes; Salmonidae
Source: Ensembl